UACUAGCUGAGUUUAAGCAUAUCAUUAAYCGGAGGAAAAGAAACUAAYAAGGAUUCCCCUAGUAACGGCGAGC
This 73-nucleotide ribosomal RNA is filed under the name Combretum microphyllum. Its description in RNAcentral is "partial 26S ribosomal RNA". It matches the Rfam family "Eukaryotic large subunit ribosomal RNA", at positions 22 to 94 of the family's 3401-position model. The record is from RNAcentral. Lineage: Eukaryota; Viridiplantae; Streptophyta; Magnoliopsida; Myrtales; Combretaceae.